RNAcentral lists this ribosomal RNA (500 nucleotides) under uncultured bacterium. RNAcentral's name for it is "partial 16S ribosomal RNA". It matches the Rfam family "Bacterial small subunit ribosomal RNA", at positions 30 to 523 of the family's 1533-position model. The record is from RNAcentral.
AUUGAACGCUGGCGGAAUGCUUUACACAUGCAAGUCGAACGGCAGCACGGACUUCGGUCUGGUGGCGAGUGGCGAACGGGUGAGUAAUGUAUCGGAACGUGCCCAGUCGUGGGGGAUAACGUAGUGAAAAUUACGCUAAUACCGCAUACGAUCUAUGGAUGAAAGCGGGGGAUCGCAAGACCUCGCGCGGUUGGACCGGCCGAUAUCAGAUUAGGUAGUUGGUGGGGUAAAGGCCCACCAAGCCAACGGUCUGUAGCUGGUCUGAGAGGACGACCAGCCACACUGGAACUGAGGCACGGUCCAGACUCCUACGGGAGGCAGCAGUGGGGAAUUUUGGACAAUGGGCGAAAGCCUGAUCCAGCCAUUCCGCGUGCAGGAUGAAGGCCCUCGGGUUGUAAACUGCUUUUGUACAGAACGAAAAGGUUUCUACUAAUACUAGGAGCUCAUGACGGUACUGUAAGAAUAAGCACCGGCUAACUACGUGCCAGCCGCCGCGGUAA